Hyla sarda is the source of this 394-nucleotide long non-coding RNA. RefSeq lists it as uncharacterized. The transcript is spliced from 3 exons. Lineage: Eukaryota; Metazoa; Chordata; Amphibia; Anura; Hylidae. The record is from RefSeq and is a predicted model, not a curated record.
CAGGCUGAGAAGCUUGAAUGUCCAAAAGAAAAAAAAUGAUAUUUUGGAGAAACACUAUCCAUAUAGACAUCUUUCAACUAUAGCGCCUGACUUACUGAAGGGCCAUAUCUGUCAACACUAAAACAGUUCCUGAAGCAGAAUCUUAAACCUGAAAUUGAACUACUUCCCGGCCAGUCUUUCCAAAAGGUACAGAGGUUCUGAGAAGUGCAGAUCUCAUUUCAUGUUUUCAAAGCUAUCUAAUUCAAGCAAUAAAUAUAUCCGCCGAGAGAAGGAAGACGGGAAGGGAAGACAGUAUUUGAUUUGGAGUAUGAGACGGCAAUAUCUGACCUGGUUUUAUUGGACACUUGUGUUUUCUCCAGUUAAAGUGGCAUUAGAAUAAUACACCUGUGAUCAG